Scomber japonicus (chub mackerel) is the source of this 419-nucleotide long non-coding RNA. RefSeq lists it as uncharacterized. The record is from RefSeq and is a predicted model, not a curated record. Lineage: Eukaryota; Metazoa; Chordata; Actinopteri; Scombriformes; Scombridae. The transcript has 5 exons.
AAAAAUGUGUGAGAGAUGUGACUCUGAUAUCUGCUUAAACGUGAAAUGCUGGGUUCCCGGUGAACAGACGUGACCGGGCCUCCGCCAUGAGAUGAUUCAACCAACCUCCUGCCUCUUUCUUUGGAGUAAAGGCAGAGCUACUGAUGAGCUGCUCAGUGUGGAGAUGAAUGUCAUGCUGCAGACUGACUGAAGCAGUGUGUGGAGCAGCUGGCCUGCAGGGGGCAGUACACAGCCAGGAACCAAGAGUGAUGUCAGUGUUGCCUGACUGGUGUGAAGAACUGGAGUCCACCGGCUGGGAUGUUGACAGGCUGUCAGACACUUCUGCUCAGCCUGAGGAUGCAAUUUAAACUGUGUGACAUUUAUUACAACAACUUUACUGGAAUGUAAAAUCUGAAUAAAAUGUGAACAAUCUGUAGUAA